Molecule: long non-coding RNA, 359 nt
Organism: Sitophilus oryzae (rice weevil)
Lineage: Eukaryota; Metazoa; Arthropoda; Insecta; Coleoptera; Curculionidae
Exons: 3
Source: RefSeq, a predicted model, not a curated record
CGAAACCUUAAAAUGGAAAAUACAACACAGCAAGAUAUUUAAAAGAUUUAUAGAGUUUGUGAUUUACAUUUUUAUAAUCAAGAUUACGUACCUGGAAUAAAAAGAGGUUUAGAAGUUAAUUAUCUUCCAAGUGACUUUUUAUAUACACCAGUUUAUAUGGAUGAUCAACCUACUGGUAAUUUGGUAUCCAGUGAUGUCGAUCCAGGUACAAACCUUGUAUUUAAAAACAAACAUUUGUUGUAGAACUUGUUGGUGGACCACUCUCUCGUUGGAAUUAGACUUGUACUGUUACCUGAGAAAAGCAGUAACUGAAAAGGAGAAAGGAUCAGAUAUCCCAAAACCAGGAAUCUUCCAGAGUG